RNAcentral lists this long non-coding RNA (572 nucleotides) under Ananas comosus (pineapple). RNAcentral describes it as "long non-coding RNA (ACOM_LNC044207)". Lineage: Eukaryota; Viridiplantae; Streptophyta; Magnoliopsida; Poales; Bromeliaceae. The record is from RNAcentral.
AAUUUUGAAUUCGAAUUCAAAAUUUUUCAAUUUAUUCAUAUCUGAAUCAAAGUUUGAAAAUUUUUAGAAAAAAAAAAGAGAAGUAAAUUUUUUUUUUUGAGAGAUAGGUAGCACGCUACGCUAUCCGUUUUGUUUAUUUUAUUUAAAAAUAAACUUAGCUGAAAAUGUGAAUCAAUUAGGAUUUGAACUUAGGUCUCAGGUACUACCACCAAAUUCUUUGCCACUUGCUCUAGAGACAAUAGAUAAGUAAAAAUAUUUUUUAUAAGUCAUGAUAAAAGAAAUAAAUUUUAGAGAGUAAAUAUAAUUGGUUAAAAGCCACACUAUCUAUGUGACUGUUACACUUUUACUAGGUCAUCAUAUAUUACUGCAUAAUGAAAAAAAUUGGGAUAUUUUUCUUUGGCGAGAACUUUUAAAGAGCAAAAUGGACAAAUAAGCGGUCGAAGCGUCAUUGGGUGAACAUCCGCAAGGGAAGUACGAAUGGCUCUCAACUUCUUCCGUGGGGCCCAUGCCCAUCCAUACUAUUAGAACGAAUCAAAUCCGCCAGUCCGAUUACCCCGCCACCCGCAUCCCGG